CCCUAGCCCUGAUUGAAGUGAAAAUCCUUUUUAUCGCCCUUGCGAAUAAAAAGAUUGAAGCGGAAAGCAGGAAGCAGC
RNAcentral lists this small RNA (78 nucleotides) under Flavobacterium omnivorum. RNAcentral's name for it is "Flavo-1 RNA". It matches the Rfam family "Flavo-1 RNA". Lineage: Bacteria; Pseudomonadati; Bacteroidota; Flavobacteriia; Flavobacteriales; Flavobacteriaceae. The record is from RNAcentral.